RNAcentral lists this long non-coding RNA (1345 nucleotides) under Triticum aestivum (bread wheat). RNAcentral's name for it is "long non-coding RNA (TAES_LNC017174)". The record is from RNAcentral. Lineage: Eukaryota; Viridiplantae; Streptophyta; Magnoliopsida; Poales; Poaceae.
ACGUUGCUCCUCGAGGAUGAUGCACUUGAAACCCUCUUUGGUGAGUUCCUGGUCUCCUCCCUCUCUCUCGCUUGUGUCCUGAGAUUGUCCUGCUCGAUAGCCAUGGUUGGCACUAGUGCGAAUCAUCGACCGAAUGAUUGAGGCCUUGGUUAUGUAUGUGGCCAUGCUUCCUUACUAUGCUGGUGGUCCUCCGGCCACCACAAGUGUUUUGUGUUGAUGAUUGGUUUGACGUUUUUUUAGCUGGGGCUAGUUUCAUGUUGUGCACUUGGCCAUCAUCUUCAUAGUUCUUACUGUAGUGUAGCUAUUUUUGGUGUUUUAUCAUGCCAUUGUCCUAAUCUGCUUGUGGAUGAGAUGCUGGCCAUUGAGUUGAUUUGUCAUAUCAUGGUUCGAAUUGCAAAUAGAACUUGCUACUGUGGAAGUUUACGCGGUUUAGAGAUUGGCCUGGUUUAGUUAAUUGCUAUGGAGUAAUUUUGAUAAGAACUAGAGUAAUUUACUUGUUGUGGGUAUAUAGCUUGUUUACUUUCAGAUGAUGUUACUUUCUGGGUCUAUUUUCCUGAAUUGGCAUGGUAUAAUAACUACAUGUUGAUGGUUAUGCUACUCCUUGGCCAUGCUCUUGUUUGAUAGGCCUGGAAAAAGAGAUAGAUAUUCUCUACUAGAUGUUUUACCAAGUGUUAGUGGUUUGUGCUGCUGAUAAGAAGUGUGGCAUACUUGAGCUAAUCCUGUGUGCAGCUAAUCCCAACAUGGUUUGACUAAGCAGCUUGUUUACUAGAUUUUUUAUUUGCUAAAAAAUUGAGACUCUUGUUGUGCAUUAGAUGCCCGAGUUUGGUGCCAUGGAGAUCGACGAUGAAGAUGUCAUUGCCCACAAAAGUGUCAAGGCAUUGAAGAGAGAAGACAUGUCCCCUGAGAGCCGAGAUGUGGAAAGCAUUAGGUAAAGUGGCAAGAGGAGCCGGAUGUGCAGCUUGUGCUUUUCUUUGUUGGCUGGUGGUUGCUGCUGAAGUGCAGAUUGAUGAUGCCUGGUGAUAUUGAAGUCCUAGUAGAUAGAUAUGCCCUAUGAUAAUUGUUUUCUUGUUGGUGGCUUACUUGUCGGCUGGUAGGUAUUGAGUCGAUGAAGUACCUUGUCGAAUUCUCAGCUCUUGUUGAUGUUCUCUUUUCUCGAUGGAGAGAGAGAGUGAUAUAUGAAGUGUAAAUUUCUGCAUAUUUUUUUCCACGAGUCUCUCCGAAAUGAAACCGGGAAUUGUGUGCCAUGCCAAUCUAUCUAUCUCUCUGUCUGUGAGUUGCCGAGAAGUUUCAAGCUGAGUGAUUUACAUAAUGGUAGUUUGUGCAAGCAUGCAUUUUAUGAUUGUUG